GAUCAUGGCUCAGGACGAACGCUGGCGGUGUGCUUCACACAUGCAAGUCGAACGAGGUAGCAAUACCUAGUGGCGGACGGGUGAGUAACGCGUGGGAAUCUGCCUUGAGAUGGGGGAUAACGAGCCGAAAGGCUCGCUAAUACCGCAUAUGCCGAAAGGUGAAAGGAGUAAUCCGUCUUAAGAUGAGCCCGCGUCCGAUUAGCUAGUUGGUGGGGUAAAGGCCUACCAAGGGCGACGAUCGGUAGCUGGUCUGAGAGGAUGAUCAGCCACAAUGGGACUGAGACACGGCCCAUACUCCUACGGGAGGCAGCAGUGGGGAAUUUUACGCAAUGGGGAAACCCUGACGUAGCGACACCGCGUGAGCGAAGAAGCCCUUUGGGGUGUAAAGCUCUGUCAGCUGGAACGAAAAAAUGACGGUACCAGCAGAGGAAGCAUCGGCUAACUACGUG
RNAcentral lists this ribosomal RNA (449 nucleotides) under uncultured bacterium. RNAcentral's name for it is "bacterial SSU rRNA". It matches the Rfam family "Bacterial small subunit ribosomal RNA", at positions 15 to 507 of the family's 1533-position model. The record is from RNAcentral.